GCCGGGUGUGGUGGCACACGCCUGUAAUCCCAGCUACUUGGGGGCUGAGGCAGGAGAAUUGCUUGAGCCCGGGAGGCAGAGGUUGCAGUGAGCUGAGAUCGUGCCACUGCACUCCAGCUUGGCUGUCAAAAAAAAAAAAAAGCUCUGAGAUUUAACUCAUACUUAGGAUGUCACCAGUCAGAGAUUUUUUUUUUUUUUAAGAUGGAGUCUUGCUCUGUGUCGCCCAGGCUGGAGUGCAGUGGCAUGAUCUCAGCUCACUGCCACCUCUGGCUCCUGAAAUCAAGGAAUUAUCCUGCCCU
Molecule: signal recognition particle RNA, 299 nt
Filed under: Gorilla gorilla gorilla (western lowland gorilla)
Lineage: Eukaryota; Metazoa; Chordata; Mammalia; Primates; Hominidae
Description: Metazoan signal recognition particle RNA
Rfam family: Metazoan signal recognition particle RNA
About the family: The signal recognition particle (SRP) is a universally conserved ribonucleoprotein. It is involved in the co-translational targeting of proteins to membranes. The eukaryotic SRP consists of a 300-nucleotide 7S RNA and six proteins: SRPs 72, 68, 54, 19, 14, and 9.
Source: Rfam by way of RNAcentral